GUCAUGAUCUACCUGUCAUUUCAUCUUAUGACCUUUUAAUUUAUAUAGAAAAUGUUUAGAGGGUUUUUAUCGUUUAUAAUUGGAGUGUAUGCUGGAAUAUAUGUAUCCCAAAAUUAUGAUAUUCCUAAAGUAGGUGAUCCAGCGUCGUUGUACGAGAAGAUAAAACAAUACGCAGAUGAACAUAAGAAAAAAUAGUUUUGUUUUUUAUAGUUUUAUUAAUUUGUAAGACCUAAAUUUUAUUAUAAAUAAAAAGUAUUUUUUUGA
Long non-coding RNA from Diorhabda carinulata, 264 nucleotides. RefSeq lists it as uncharacterized. The transcript has 3 exons. The record is from RefSeq and is a predicted model, not a curated record. Lineage: Eukaryota; Metazoa; Arthropoda; Insecta; Coleoptera; Chrysomelidae.